CUUUUCUCCUUUUCUGUAGAACCUAAUCAGACAAAUCGUUUCAAAAUUUGCGAUGCACAACAAAUAUCAAGAACAUGGUAGAUUAUGGUUGCUUUGUACAGGCUAUAGUUUCCAAAAUUUUCAUUAGCUACUGCCUGUUUCUUUCAGCUUAGCUUUGUGUGGCAGAAAACUAAUUAAAUUAGUACAUCUAUGUUGUCUUCUGCCCAUGGUUAUCAUGUGAGAGCUUACAGUUAUGUACCUGCAACCUGAAUUUUGGUUAUUGCAUAUAAUUAUGUAGUUUUUUUUUGAAGCCCCAAAUGGGGUGACUUUAUAUUGAGGAGGAGUGAAAAUAAUUACAAGGUGCCGUGGUUGAUCCAUGGCAGAUUACAUAUGAUUAUGUAGUGAAAACCUGUUCUGCCUCUUAUCUGAGAUGUAAUAUUUGCAAAGGAGGAAUCCUAUAUAUGGCUGUCAAUUGUUUAGCCUAAUUUGAUAUUUUGAUGAUAGCCCAAAAAAGAAAGAAAG
Molecule: long non-coding RNA, 501 nt
Filed under: Oryza brachyantha (malo sina)
Lineage: Eukaryota; Viridiplantae; Streptophyta; Magnoliopsida; Poales; Poaceae
Description: long non-coding RNA (OBRA_LNC001805)
Source: RNAcentral